AUUGAACGCUGGCGGGAUGCUUAACACAUGCAAGUCGAACGGCAGCGCGGACUUCGGUCUGGCGGCGAGUGGCGAACGGGUGAGUAAUGUAUCGGAACGUCCCCAGUAGCGGGUGAUAACUACGUGAAAGCGGAGCUAAUACCGCAUACGCCCAUCGGGGGAAAGCGGGGGAUCGUGAGACCUUUCACUCUUGCGGGGGUGGAUAUCGGAUUAGCUAGUUGGUGAGUUGACGGCUCACCAAGGCGCCGAUCCGUAGCUGGUUUGCGAGGAAGAUCAGCCACACUGGAACUGAGACACGGUCCAGACUCCUACGGGAGGCAGCAGUGGGGAAUGGUGGACAAUGGGGGCAAGCCUGAUCCAGCCAUCCCGAGUGUGAGACGAAGGCCUUCGGGUUGUAAAGCCCUUUUGGCGGGAAAGAAACGCAGCAGGCUAAGACCCCGCGGGACUGACGGUACCGGGAGAAUAAGCACCGGCUAACUACGUG
This 484-nucleotide ribosomal RNA is filed under the name uncultured bacterium. Its description in RNAcentral is "partial 16S ribosomal RNA". It matches the Rfam family "Bacterial small subunit ribosomal RNA", at positions 29 to 507 of the family's 1533-position model. The record is from RNAcentral.